This is a long non-coding RNA of Monomorium pharaonis (pharaoh ant), 696 nucleotides long. RefSeq lists it as uncharacterized. Lineage: Eukaryota; Metazoa; Arthropoda; Insecta; Hymenoptera; Formicidae. The record is from RefSeq and is a predicted model, not a curated record. The transcript has 3 exons.
AGCUGAAGUUGACGGAAGAGCAGCAAGAAGCGUAUAAAAUCAUUAAUACUACAACCUUACUUACAAAGCUACUAGUUCUACAUUAUUUACAAAGCUACUAGUAUUGGAUAGUAAUGAUUUGUUCCAGUCAAAAUUUCUAUAUGUUUUAAAAGAAAGAGGAAGAAUUACAAAUCUUACACUGUCAAGGUGUAUCUUAAACUUAAAUUAAUUUUAAAGAAGCUGAAGUUGACGAAAGAGCAGCAGGAAGUGUACAAAUUCACUAAUUCUACAACAUUACUUACAAAGCUACUAGUUCCACAAUGUUACUGACAAAGCUACUAGUACUGGAUAGUAAUAAUUUGUUCCUGUUAAUAUUACAAUGCUCACUAUUUAGUUUGGAUUUAAAAUUUCUAUAUGUUUUAAAAGAAAAAGAAUUACCAAUCUUACACUGUCAAGGUGUAUCUUAGACUUAACCCAAUUCCAAAGAAGCUAAAGUUGACAGAAGAGCAACAGGAAGCGUACAAAAUCAUUAAUUCUACAAUAUUACUUACAAAGCCACUAGUUCUACAACGUUACUUACAAAACAACUAGUACUGGAUAGUAAUAAUUUGUUUCUACCAAUGCUACAAUGCUCACUAUUUAGUUUUGAUUUAAAAUUUGGAUUUAAAAUAUGGUAAGAAAAAUUUUCAUACAUUCACAAAUCACAUUCAAAAUAAA